Molecule: long non-coding RNA, 571 nt
Organism: Pyrus x bretschneideri (Chinese white pear)
Lineage: Eukaryota; Viridiplantae; Streptophyta; Magnoliopsida; Rosales; Rosaceae
Exons: 3
Source: RefSeq, a predicted model, not a curated record
GAGAUGCUGGAAGCAUCUUCCACUUUUCACUUUCCUCUUCAAUUCUUCUCUUUGUCUUUCCAUUUCUCUCUAUUUCUCUGUCUGUCUUUCGGUUUUGAUUCCGACUGGAUCGUGUGGAAGGUUGUUUGGCCUGUUUUUCUCGCUGUUUUCCGCGGUUUAGGUUACUCGGAGAAGUCUGUGAAGGGUCAAUAGGACAAGGUGGAUCAAAGUGCAAAAGAUACAGGGCCUGCCUCUCUAUGCAUUUCCUAUCUUCCAAAAAUCGUGUUCGUGGAGACGAUUUGAGAUGGAUUUGAAGCUCGUCUACAGAGAUUUGAUUCAAAUUGGUGGAUUUGGUAUUCCCUAUUGUUCGCUGCUAAACAACUGCCUUCCUCAACAUUCGAGCUUUGCAUGCAAAAAUUCGUUUCAUGUUGUUUGAACCCAAAUUUACACCAUCGGCCCGUGUAAUUAAGGCCGUUGAAUGUGCAUAACUUCACAGUCAUAUGAAGAAAUUAAGAUAAUUUUAUUGUUAAGAGAUAAUAUUAUGAUUUUUAAUCAUAAUGAUUGUUUUUUAAUAGUGAAUUAUCUUGGUUUU